RNAcentral lists this ribosomal RNA (252 nucleotides) under uncultured bacterium. Its description in RNAcentral is "partial 16S ribosomal RNA". It matches the Rfam family "Bacterial small subunit ribosomal RNA", at positions 524 to 776 of the family's 1533-position model. The record is from RNAcentral.
UACGUAGGGUGCAAGCGUUAAUCGGAAUUACUGGGCGUAAAGCGUGCGCAGGCGGUUAUGUGAGACAGGUGUGAAAUCCCCGGGCUUAACCUGGGAACUGCAUUUGUGACUGCAUAGCUAGAGUACGGUAGAGGGGAUGGAAUUCCGCGUGUAGCAGUGAAAUGCGUAGAUAUGCGGAGGAACACCGAUGGCGAAGGCAAUCCCCUGGACCUGUACUGACGCUCAUGCACGAAAGCGUGGGGAGCAAACAGG